GAUAGAGGCAUGUGACCAGAAAGCUAGCUACAGUUUGUUUUCUUCCUGUAUUGAACACAAAUCAUCCCGUCUUCAAUUUGAUCGAUUCUUUACGUUAAAAAAUACCUAUAGUUGUAUUACAAAAGUAGUUUGAAAUGUUUUGGCAAAGUUUACAGGUAACUUUUGAGAUAUCUUGUAGUCACGUUGAGCAAGUUGGAACUAGUGUUUUUCUGGAUCAAACGCUUCAAAUAAAUGGACAUUUUGGAUAUAUAUCAACGGAAUUAAUCGAACAAAAGGACCAUUUGUGAUGUUUAUGGGACAUAUUGGAGUGCCAACAAAAGAAGCUCGUCAAAGCUGACCUCUAUCAAGACACCCAUGUCGACUGGAUUCCCACUGUGAAAGUCAGCAAUCCUGCAGCAGCAUCAGUCUCUACUUCUACUUCGUCCUUUUCCAGAUAUGAAAUGAGACAUCCCUCAGUUAGACAAAACGGUUGUCAAUCUGAAUGAUUCUGGUGUGCCAUGAAAGCACAAGCGGUGAGGGUCGCAAACUACAUGGCAUCUGACAGUGGUGGCUGAGCUGGAAGAGAUGGGUCUCUCAUUGGACAGCACACACGCUGUGACUCCAGUGGUAGAAGAUUGUUGCGGCCUUAUGUGCCACCUGGGAUGAAGAGGACUAAG
Long non-coding RNA from Oncorhynchus tshawytscha (Chinook salmon), 656 nucleotides. The record is from Ensembl. NCBI's taxonomy places the organism in Eukaryota, Metazoa, Chordata, Actinopteri, Salmoniformes, Salmonidae.